Molecule: long non-coding RNA, 3324 nt
Organism: Gasterosteus aculeatus aculeatus (three-spined stickleback)
Lineage: Eukaryota; Metazoa; Chordata; Actinopteri; Perciformes; Gasterosteidae
Source: Ensembl
GCGCGUGAAAAAAUGUUGCAUUUUAAUGGAGGACACGGUCGACUUCCGAGCGGGGUGGAAGUCGAGAUUUAAUGACAAUUUUUGCCUUGUUACAGCAGAUGGCUGCACAGAAAGACAAACGACUCGCCGCGUUUGUUGAUUGACGUGCGACGUACCCACACAGGUAGGAGCUUAAAUUUGAAAUCGCUUUGCUGACGACUGGGUUGUCCAAUCAUCGGGAAGCGGGGGCGGGAUAUAACCCCGUCAAUCAUGCAGAAACUAUAAUGGUUUGAAUAAGGAGGGAGGGGGAGAAUCCAAUCCGGUUUGAGCUAGUUCUUCUGCCAAUGGAACAUUACCGUCGCGCUACGCUGUAUUAGACUGUACUGGUACAGCUUUAUCCAGAAUAUACCACUGUAUCUUUCUCCUGUAUUGAGCAACAUUUAGCUCUUUUUUCUUAAAAAAAAAAAAAACUCACCCCACACAAACCAGCCAUGCCUAAAAGGAGCAAAGUGAGUAGACCGACAUCUUUCAUGCAUUCAGUAAUACGGCGUUUAUAACCCCCAAAUGCAAUGUGUAAGUUACAGCCAGCGGUCCGAGUUGUUACAAAAUACGUUUUUUUUGUUCCAGAUGAGUGUGUACAAUGUCGCCGCUUGCAUUCAGGAGUUUAGUUGAUGUGCUUGUCUGUUUUGAUGUCGUAAAGUGGCUGGUUCUCGGUGCUACAUCUUGAGCAGUGAUUAUCUUUGUGCCGAGUGGUUUCCCCCCGUGUCGGAUUUUAUAUUUAUACUGCAAGAUGGUGAAAUCCAGUUACAAUUGCGUGUAAAUUACGUUAACUUGCAGCGUAGGACCAGGCAGGGACGUUUUCUCAGUCGACGGGCUGCUUUUUCUGCAUAGAAAGUUGGCGGCAUAUUGAUUGUUUCCUAUGGGGGUCGUCGCGCUGGCCACUAAAGUUUCUAAAACGCAUACUGAAAUUUAAAGGAUGUUAUUCGGUGGGUUUAAGGCUUUUACGCUAAGCCAGUGGUUAUCGCGUGGGAAACGAGUCCUUUAAAGGCUGUCUCGUGGAUCAAACUCGUUUUUUUAAACGAUAAUAUGCGAAUGGCGCUUCCCUAAAACCUAACAUGCAUGUGUUGUUUUUGUUAAUGAAUGGCCGCCCUUUUAUCAACGUUGAAAAAAAUGAAUUUCUUGGGAGGCGGUCGUCGUGUCCGCCGAGUGUCUUUAUGUGUAGUCGGCUCAGGCCAGUCGAAGGGUUAUGCAAUGGCGAGCCUCCGUCAGCAAAGCGCCUGCUCCUGUUGCUGGGGGUUCUAGUAGAAUCUGCUACCAGAUCGACGGAGUCGCCGCUGAGCGUCUCGUAGUGACUCUUUUCAAAUUCGUGGCGGGAGCCGCUCGCUGCACGGCUCGGUUUCGCUCCGUAAACUGGCAAUCCCGUUUUAUUACCAAUGAAUGGAUGCGCUCGCGGGGAGGCGGAGUUCCACAGCGCAGACAAAUCACAGGAGGCGCGAGAGCGCGACCUCAGGCCGCGGCCUAAACUACACUUUGCUGUGUGUAGAAUGCAGACUUCCAUUGCUGUUGCUGUGUAGACAAAUGUACUUCCGCAUUGAUUCGUUCUGCUGAGUGCCGAGUAUAAUGUGUAAUGGGCGUGAUUGAGAAGUGAGUCUUGCUCUUCCGUGGUUACCAGUCCUAUUGUUCCGAGAUUUAGAACAUAUCUCAGCCAAUCACAGCGGCCGGUCUGAGCUCAAUCAUGUAUGAAGCUCGCCGUACACCCAUAGGCCAAUGUUCUGUCGGGAAACGCCCACUUUUGAGUUACAUAACUAAUACUUAAAUCCCAUGACCUUCUACCCCCCAUCAACUCACCAUAGGCACAUUAAAAUGCAGAAAAAUGCUGUAACUGGAUUUCUUUGAUUGUUUUGUCUCUAACAGGCAGGGGGAGAAACAGUGGCCAAGAGGAGAUCUCUCAGGUUGAGUGAAAAACCUGCACCUUCAAAGGCAGAGGCCAAACCUAAGCCCAAGAAGGCACCUGCUAAGCCUAAAAAAGCCAAGGAGGUGGAGAAGGCAAAGCCCGAGGAGAAAGCACCAGAGGCCCCCGCUGAGAAUGGUGAAGCCAAAGCCGAGGAAGAGGCACCGGCCACAGAAGAAGCGGACGAAAAAGAUGAUGCGGCAGAAUAACAUCUCUCAAACCACGUCUUUGCCAGUGCUCCCUGUACCUCUUUUCUUGUACAAUUCAGGGGAAUAUUUUUAUCAACUAUUUUCUAAAUACAGGUUUUUUAGUAGUUUGAUUGUAGAGAACACUUUUUUUUAAUGAAAGAAAAAAAAGUCAAUUUGGAGACGGGAAUUUCGUCACAUCCCACAAUUUUGCAUCGCCACAAAAAAUCGCGGUUGUUGUUUCUGUCAGUGGAUUUCGUUUCAUUUUUAAAUGUGAAGAGGGCGGGGAGGGGUUGCAGGACAGGUUACUGUGUCGGCGCUUAAGCACAGCGUUCACAGCAGCUGGGGCAACAACCAGAGGAGCUUGUCCACGUGGAUUACAUUCCAUAUGCUUUAUAAGGGACAAUGUGUGUAAUCUGUGCGGGGUGGGAAUAGACAAAGUCACAGGGCAACUCAUUGUUUUAUUGUUCAUAAUGAAGAACUGUGUUUUAGAAUGUUUGUAAGCUUUGUUCCUAUAUGUUAUCUCUUGUACUCAUGCAGAUUUUCAAUGAAUCUGAUCAAUAAAGCUAAAAAUCCCUAGUACUCGAGCUCUCCUUAUCAAAACUGCAUCGCGUGUGUUGGUUGUGUCUCUGUUUCUGUGAUAGCAUCGCAAUAAAUUUGUAUAGCUGCUGUGAAAAAAAAGGUUUUCAAUCUUUCUAUAUGCAUUGUGUAAUGGUACAUAGUAAGGAUGGUAAAAAUGGAAUUUGUUUUCUUAGCCAGGAUAAUGAGGUGUGUAACCAUCAAAAACAAACUUGAGAUUGGCGUCUUUAAGGCCAACCGACAAACUGUACAUUUAUUUGAGAUGUCAAAUGCAUACCAGCAGUAGCAAUAUUAAUGUGGGUUUUAGAUAUCUGUAUCAAGUACACGUGUGCCGUUCAUUUUUAUUUGUUUAUAGAUGUACCUGUGUAAUGAUUGUUAUCAACAAACCAAUAAAACUCUGUUGGUAGUUGUUUCAUUCUGAGGCGUCGGUUUAUGAGCGAGGUUGCUGAAAGAUUGCUGUAACUGUUUCUAAAAGUUAAUGAAAGGGAGAAUACAAUAAAUAUUGAUAUUUAUAACAUAGAAAUGUGCUUGCCGCUUCCGCAUUGAUAGUGAUUUGUUAAAUCACCAAGCAAGCACCUACACUAUAACAAAUGUUUUCUACAUGUAAAAUAAAACUUGAUUCAUUAUCUG